CCUGGAUAUUCCGGUUACGAUGUAUUAUUCGUUUUUAAUAAGGGAAAUAACUCUGUCACAAUGUGCCAUGGACUGCGCGAAACUUACCGGAUGUAAAUUGUUCCACUUUAGUUCCAACUCAUGUUAUGUUCUCAAUAUGCUAACCACUGGGAUAGGAUCUGUGAAGUUAAACAGUAUCCAUGUCGAUGAACAACUGAAAGAAACCUGUCAAUCAAAGCAAUAUACUCCACUUCUAGAUGGAAUAUUUUGUAUUGAUAUGUCAACUUAUAAAAGAACUUGGCCUGACGCUGAAGCGGUUUGUAACGAUACGGGAGGUCGACUUCUGAUCAUGACAAAUGUUGAACUUAGUCUUAAAUGGGAGCCGAUAAAAGCCAUGACAACAAAUGAGUUUUGGAUCGGGGGAAAUGACGAAGCUAAAGAGGGUAGCUGGGUAUGGUCAGAUGGAUCAAGUGUAACCGGAAGUGGUUGGAUAUCUGGCCAACCAGAUAAUUAUUUGGGCAAUGAAGACUGUCU
This is a long non-coding RNA of Patella vulgata (common limpet), 513 nucleotides long. RefSeq lists it as uncharacterized. The record is from RefSeq and is a predicted model, not a curated record. The transcript has 3 exons. Lineage: Eukaryota; Metazoa; Mollusca; Gastropoda; Patellidae.